RNAcentral lists this ribosomal RNA (450 nucleotides) under uncultured bacterium. RNAcentral's name for it is "partial 16S ribosomal RNA". It matches the Rfam family "Bacterial small subunit ribosomal RNA", at positions 354 to 796 of the family's 1533-position model. The record is from RNAcentral.
GUGGGGAAUUUUGGACAAUGGGCGAAAGCCUGAUCCAGCCAUGCCGCGUGCAGGAUGAAGGCCUUCGGGUUGUAAGCUGCUUUUGUACGGAACGAAAAGACUCCUUCUAAUAAAGGGGGUCCAUGACGGUACCGUAAGAAUAAGCACCGGCUAACUACGUGCCAGCAGCCGCGGUAAUACGUAGGGUGCAAGCGUUAAUCGGAAUUACUGGGCGUAAAGCGUGCGCAGGCGGUUAUAUAAGACAGAUGUGAAAUCCCCGGGCUCAACCUGGGAACUGCAUUUGUGACUGUAUAGCUAGAGUACGGUAGAGGGGGAUGGAAUUCCGCGUGUAGCAGUGAAAUGCGUAGAUAUGCGGAGGAACACCGAUGGCGAAGGCAAUCCCCUGGACCUGUACUGACGCUCAUGCACGAAAGCGUGGGGAGCAAACAGGAUUAGAUACCCCGGUAGUCC